This 864-nucleotide ribosomal RNA is filed under the name uncultured Methanosarcinales archaeon. Its description in RNAcentral is "bacterial SSU rRNA". It matches the Rfam family "Archaeal small subunit ribosomal RNA", at positions 1 to 865 of the family's 1478-position model. Lineage: Archaea; Methanobacteriati; Methanobacteriota; Methanomicrobia; Methanosarcinales. The record is from RNAcentral.
UCCGGGUUGAUCCUGCCAGAGGUUACUGCUAUCGGAGUUCGAUUAAGCCAUGCGAGUCUAAAGGUUUCUUCGGAAACCUUGGCGGACUGCUCAGUAACACGUGGAUAACCUACCCUUGGGACUGGGAUAACCCCGGGAAACUGGGGAUAAUACCGGAUAGAUCAGGGAUGCUGGAAUGCGCCUUGAUCCAAAGCUCCGGCGCCCAAGGAUGGGUCUGCGGCCUAUCAGGUUGUAGUGGGUGUAACGUACCUACUAGCCGACGACGGGUACGGGUUGUGAGAGCAAGAGCCCGGAGAUGGAUUCUGAGACACGAAUCCAGGCCCUACGGGGUGCAGCAGGCGCGAAACCUUUACAAUGUGCGAAAGCAUGAUAAGGGAACUCCGAGUGCCAGCAUCUAAUGCUGGCUGUCCUUGUGCCUAAAACGCACAAGAUAGCAAGGGCCGGGUAAGACCGGUGCCAGCCGCCGCGGUAACACCGGCGGCCCGAGUGGUAGCCGCUAUUAUUGGGUCUAAAGGGUCCGUAGCCGGUUCGAUAAGUCCUCUGGGAAAUCUGGUUGCUUAACAAUCAGACUGCCAAGGGAUACUGUCGAACUUGAGACCGGGAGAGGUAAGAGGUACUUCAGGGGUAGGAGUGAAAUCUUGUAAUCCCUGGGGGACCAUCUGUGGCGAAGGCGUCUUACCAGAACGGGUCUGACGGUGAGGGACGAAAGCUGGGGGCGCAAACCGGAUCAGAUACCCGGGUAGUCCCAGCCGUAAACGAUGCUCGCUAUGUGUCAGGUACGGUGUGACCGUAUCUGGUGCCGUAGGGAAGCCGUGUUGCGAGCCACCUGGGAAGUACGGUCGCAAGACUGAAACUUAAAGGAAU